RNAcentral lists this long non-coding RNA (699 nucleotides) under Populus trichocarpa (black cottonwood). RNAcentral describes it as "long non-coding RNA (PTRI_LNC000786)". The record is from RNAcentral. Lineage: Eukaryota; Viridiplantae; Streptophyta; Magnoliopsida; Malpighiales; Salicaceae.
UUUUGAGGAUGGUGACGGGCAGCACUGUGAAGAAGGCACAUAUUUGAUUGCUGUAUGCAGGCCUCUGAAGAUCCCUCUUCUCUGUCUUCAGCCGUUUCCUGUACUGUACCAUUUGCCGAAAGAAUUUUAAUCUUCCUUUUACUCUAACGUAGGGCCAUUUUGUGUGUCCUGGUUUGAGCUUUCGAUACUUGCAGCUUGGUUAUGAUGUCUGUUCUGAUAGAAUCCUGGGGAGAACACAGUGAGGAGCUUGAAUCUUGAGUCUCAAAAACCAUGAUCGGGUUGGGAGAAGUAGGCUGGUUUGCAAUAGCCUUCUCUGUCUCAAAACUCUGUCUGUUGGUAGAACUGUCAUCUUCUCCCAUUAGAAGACCAUUGCUGGUAGCAAGUCUUCCUUUUCUUCGAUUCAAAAGCUUUUUAUAUGGAUGAAACGUCAUGAUUUCUGGAAAGAGAGUCUCAAUUGGCAAAGAUGUAGUAUAUGUCUCUCAGCCCCUGUGCUGAUAAAAAGAAGCAUCAAAAGUAUCCACUUCACUCCUGCAUUCGGUCACGAAAGCAGCUUGGGCUUGACUAGUCUCAGAAUCAUCAUCUUCUUCAUCUUCCAAUUGUGGGCUAAAAGAGUUCAUACUUUACUCUAUUGUUCCAUAUGCGGGGUAGUUUAGAUGAUCUAUCUCCUGAAUAUUGAUGAUGUAGUCCCUCCCUUCCAUU